UGCCUUCGGAAAACGCGUGAGGGAGGAGGCUACUGGUUGUAACCUCUUUUGAAGGGAAGAAGACAUGACGGUACCUAUCGAAUCAGCCUCGGCUAACUCCGUGCCAGCAGCCGCGGUAAUACGGAGGAGGCAAGCGUUAUCCGGAAUUAUUGGGCGUAAAGCGUCCGUAGGUGGCGAACCAAGUCAGUUGUUAAAGCGUGGAGCUUAACUCCAUAUCAGCAAUUGAAACUGGUUGGCUAGAGUGCGAUAGGGGCAAGGGGAAUUCCCAGUGUAGCGGUGAAAUGCGUAGAUAUUGGGAAGAACAUCGGUGGCGAAAGCGCCUUGCUGGGUCUGCACUGACACUUAAGAAUAAACGCUAGCCCCCC
This 365-nucleotide ribosomal RNA is filed under the name Leptolyngbya sp. Djaks_2. RNAcentral's name for it is "bacterial SSU rRNA". It matches the Rfam family "Bacterial small subunit ribosomal RNA", at positions 384 to 769 of the family's 1533-position model. Lineage: Bacteria; Bacillati; Cyanobacteriota; Cyanophyceae; Leptolyngbyales; Leptolyngbyaceae. The record is from RNAcentral.